GCAGUGAAAAGCACGCUCCAUUUUCUGAUUCUCUACUAUACUUCCAAACUCCUUCCUUCCCACCUCGUCCCUUCCGCCCAAUAAAAACCCAGAACCCGAAACCCAGAACCCGAAACCCGAAACCCGAAAACCAAGAACAGUUGCAUCAAUUUUUUUUUUUUCACAGCACCUAAAAGCAAUUCCGAGCUCCCAACCACUGACGCUUUUUAUUCACUGCUAGACGACGUCGUCGGAGCACUAAGAGAAGGGAGGGGAGUUUUGGUAGAAUUUGUGGGAAGAGCAAGAGAGUUUGCUAAAAGUACCUGAAGAUGAGCCAAGCUGAUCAAGGGAUCAACCCUGAUGCCUCGUCAAACAUCCAUAUGAAGCGCAAACGUGGCCGUCCACGGAAAUAUCCAAAACUAAAUCUGGAAGAGGAUACUCGUGUGCCAAAUGCUCAGAAUCUGAACUCACGUGUGAAUGCUGGUAUUGGUAUUCCUCCUGUUCCUCCUGGAUUUGAUGGGAGGAACGAAUACCAGUCCCAUCAUGCAGCUCCAAAUAAUAGUACAACUGAUGUCAUGGUGGGAACAAUAGUUUCUGGUGUCAUUGAUGGAGCUUUUGAUGGAGGAUAUUUACUUAGUGUCAGGGUUGGCAACUCUCACACCACUUUGAGGGGCGUUGUCUUCAAGCCUGGACGUUACACUUCUGUCUCAGCAGAGAAUGAUGUGGCCCCAGAUGUUCAAAUGAUCAGGCGAAAUGCAAUUCCCAUUCCAGGUGAGAUUUACUCUCAUGUCCAUGGUCAGAAAUCUCGUUCUAGAGAUGUCAUCCGCUCUGUUCAUCACGUGGCUUCAAAAGGCAAACAUGUGCCCCCUGUGGCAGCCCAAACUGUUAAUCCACUAUUGUCCAGAGGAAACUUGUUGCCUGUUAUACUGCAACCUCGUAAUUUAUCUAAUGGGGUACCACUCACCGGUUCAUCUACUUCUGUUGCUCCAGUUGCUCCUCCGAAAAAUGGGUCGAUACCCACUAACCAGGUGCCACUCACCAGUGAACCAACUUCUGUCGCACCCCAAGCUGCAGAUCUGGCAACUUCAAGAGUUAAACCAGUUCCUCCAUCAAAUGGGUUGAUACCCUCCAACCAGAUGCCAAUAGUUGGAAAUCAGUCUUCAGUGUUCGAAGGUGAACAAAAUGAUGAUGGUACUUGUAAUCAACCAUCAACAGAGACGCUAAUUCAGGAAGAAGCCAAAUCAAUGAGACUCCCAGAUAUACCUUUUGAAAAAUUGGUUACUGAGGUAGUAAAAAGGAUUGAUAACCCCUCACAAGCCACCUUACAAUCAACUGAUAUUCACAUUGAGGGUAGCAAGUCAACUGGCAAUGAGAUGGAGAACGAUAUGGAUCAACCCCUAGUAAUUGAGCCUCUGCAAGCCAUACAGCCGAAAGGCCACUCUACACCAGUUUCAAAACCACUGGAGGACAGUAGAAAUGGCAAAAUGUCUGAGCUGUUGCAGGUUUUGCAGGAAAGCAUGAGGGAGAGGGAGGAGCCACAGGCUGAAGUGUCAACCACAGGUCCCAGACAGAAGUUGGAUGAACCAAGUUAACCUGUGAUCGGAAAUAAAAUCUGAUUGUUCACGAAAACCUUCUUAGGCUUCAAGUGUCUGAUUUUCUAGUAGCCACCUUGAAUGGGUAUUGUGUGCAUGCUUUGCUGAUGGACAUAAAGGCUUUGCAUGAUGGGAGGAGUUCACUAACCCAAAAAAGAGGAGCAAAGGCCAGUACAACAAACCUGAAAUGUAUAGGGAACAAGAGAACAAACUCAACAGGCUUUAGCAAACACCAGGAGAAAACCAAACCAAGCAAGCGGGAAACCAACCAAUAUUAAGACCAGAGACAUUAUUCAAAGCUCAACAAAACCAUGAAACCAAAUCUAAUGGAUCAAAUCACAAUCAGAGAAGGAUUGGUUCCAUCAAAAUAUGUUUGGGCUAUCUACUCAAGAAAAAAAAAAUGUUUGGGCUACAUCAUCCCAAACAUCCUUGGCAGUUCAAGAUGGAAGCAAAGAACCUACAACAGUAGGGGUUCCGGUUGCACCCCUUACUUCGAAUAGGAAAAAACUUGGCUCCUCGAAACAAGUUUGGACACAUGUAAUUCUUUUAACUUUUUUUUUUUUUUUUUUAAUCUUUUAACUCGUCUUUUGGAAUUUAACAUGAGUUAAAAUCCUAUUUGUUGCGAGGAAGAGUUCCGCCUCAGUUUUAAGGAGCCAAGCAAUGCUCCUUCGAAUAUGCAGGAUCAGUUGCAGAUGGUUGAGGGAAGAAUUAGUGGGAGAAUAUAACCUUAUGACCGUUGUUGCUUAUCGUCUGAAGUUCAAAUGAAAUAGGACAUGAAAAAUAGCCAAAGUUUGGGGGGGUUAAGUAUGGGUAAGAACUUUGGUAGAUAGAAGUGUCUUCUGGGAUGAAUGUUGGGUUAAGUAUGGGUAAGAACUUUGGUAGAUAGAAGUGUCUUCUGGGAUGAAUGUUUCGUUACGAAUAUGGGUAUAGAAGUGUCUUCUGGGAUGAAUGUUUCGUUACGAAUAUGGGUACUUUCAGUUAGAUUUGAUCGGUAGAAUAUGGGUAAUCUGAGGUAAUAUUGGCAAUUUAUAGCAAGUGGGCAUCGAAAUAGUAGUUUAAGAUUACGGUAAGAAAAAACAACUAAGGUAGAGGAAAAACAGUAGAUUACGUCAAGAAAGAAGGUAAGACCAACCAAGCAAUGAUGAGCCAGAGGGUAGGGAAAGCUGGCAGAAGGGUUUAGCUGAUGACAACAGUAGUAGUAAGAAACAAGAUUGUAAAAUUUUAUAUGGCAACCUCGCUCUGAUGCCAUGCAGAAAAUUUAAGUUGGAAAAUCAUUUUAUGA
RNA transcript from Prunus dulcis (almond), 2853 nucleotides. RefSeq lists it as uncharacterized. NCBI's taxonomy places the organism in Eukaryota, Viridiplantae, Streptophyta, Magnoliopsida, Rosales, Rosaceae. The record is from RefSeq and is a predicted model, not a curated record. The transcript is spliced from 4 exons.